AAACUUAGGAUUAAUUAAACCGAAG
This 25-nucleotide transfer RNA is filed under the name Serinus canaria (Common canary). RNAcentral describes it as "partial tRNA-Trp". Lineage: Eukaryota; Metazoa; Chordata; Aves; Passeriformes; Fringillidae. The record is from RNAcentral.